This 120-nucleotide ribosomal RNA is filed under the name Saimiri boliviensis boliviensis (Bolivian squirrel monkey). Lineage: Eukaryota; Metazoa; Chordata; Mammalia; Primates; Cebidae. The record is from RNAcentral.
GUCUACAGGCAUAUCACCCUGAAGGUGCCUGAUCUCGUCUGAUCUCGGAAGCUAAGCAGGGUCGGGCCUGGUUAGUACUUGGAUGGGAGAACACUCAGUGAGAAAACAGUUUCCUUGCCA